UCGGCAAUCUCCGGACAGCUAAGGGGAGGAGUGAACGCAGAAUUGCAUAGGACACAAGUCUGCACCUCACACCGACAUUCACCACCUCACGGCUUCUACCUGGAUUCACGGCUUCUAUCAGGAUUAGAAUCUUUACAGCUUUUGCCUGGUCCCCUCGGCUGCAAGCAAUUCCCAUUUACAGGCCUGAAGCAGCUCGUGUCAGCUCGCAAGCACAAGGAGUGAGCGGUGAAGUGAUCCUGACCUCCUCUGCCAGCCAGAGCAGACAAUACAUACUGGGACUUCUGGUUGACCCACGGCAUACCUGCUAGGCCAGCGCCAUCCGUGCCAGCCGCGGACCUCUGAAGGAGGAGACUUGCAGCGCUAACAAGCUACUGGGGACCGUUACCAGUUAUUGCCGGAGACCUGACACCUCCGUGCCACACCGCCGAGCCGGCUCUAAGAACGAUCCCAGGAGUGGUUUUAACUGUUCGGUAUUUUAUCUAUUUGCGUAUUUGACAGCAGCAACCAGAGACAUUCCAGUGAAGCCUACUCUCUCUUUCUACAUGGAUCUCAUUACAUGAUACGUAUUGUAAUGUCUCUAGAAUAAUUUAUGAUAUUUAGUUUUUGAUUUGACAGUUGGCCAAUGGGAUACAUACCCCCUACAUGAUAUUAUAAUUGAUCAGCAUCCACUAUCUUGACACUGAGGUUUACACUAUGUAUAUUGUAUGGUGACAUUUGGAUGCAUUAUGGGUCAAUCACUUCAGCACUUUGCACUUUAUAUAUUUUUCAUCAUUAUAUUUUUACAUUAACUGUAAUAAAUUAUAUUGCCAAUUUAUAUGUCUUCAGCACACACUAUUUUAAUAAUUUUUUUUACAUUUUGAAAUUUUUCCACAUUUUUGGAUUGUCACAUUGGGGUCCUAAAUUUAGAACAGGGUAGGUCCCUGUCCCUAUUAGUCAUCCACCCUUAUGGUGGUCCUUAUCAUGGUCGUCACGCUAGAUUAAUUUUUCUACACAUUUUCAGUUAUUUAGGGGUCACACUACCCCCUUUUUGUUGAGAUUACAUAUCUCUUUUGGAUUUAUACACCCUUCCAACACAUAUGGUUGGGUUAUUGAGAGAUUACCACAAUACACUUCUGCAUGUGGGCACAUUUAUGCGUGUAUACACGCAUGCAUGCAUAAGUGAAUACACGCCCUUAUGAUUGGUUAUCCAAUUUAUCUCAUAUUUUGCACUAUUUUGACCCAAUAUUUUAUGGAUAUUGGAUAACUUUUUCAUAUAAUUUUUUUUUAGAUAUGAAGUAUGGUAAUUUUUUGUAUAUAUGUAAAUGUGUCAUUAACUAUUGUCAUGUGCAAUAUACACUGUUGCUAUAAUAUAUAUGGGUUCUAUGCUUAUAAACAUGUUAACAAAGACUUGCAGCAGUAGACCUAUAUGGAUCCUAGUUGGUGAAAGAGUUUAGGGCCUUUUCAUACAUUUUACCUGAUGUUGUAGCUGCCAGCGCCGAUUUCGUCUGGUGCGCAUGCGCCGGGCCCGAUUCCUGGCACUGUCUCUCCGGGCGUCAGGGGGCCAAAUGCGCAUGUCCGAAUACUAUGUGGC
Hyla sarda is the source of this 1570-nucleotide long non-coding RNA. RefSeq lists it as uncharacterized. NCBI's taxonomy places the organism in Eukaryota, Metazoa, Chordata, Amphibia, Anura, Hylidae. The record is from RefSeq and is a predicted model, not a curated record. The transcript is spliced from 3 exons.